AACUCACGGCACAAUGAGGGAUGUUUGGGUGAAUGGUGUAGUGAAAAUAUGGUAGAGGAUGGUGACUAAAUGGUGCAGCAAAGGAUGGUAUUUAUAGGCUGAAAUUCGCAGCCCCUAUGUAGCAAAGGAAAAGGAUUUAAAGGCCUAAUUUGUAUAGGAUAAUAACACACAAUCCUUGAAGGAAAAGGCUAAGGCUUUUAGAAACCAAGGGGGAAAGGAAUAAUC
RNAcentral lists this long non-coding RNA (225 nucleotides) under Malus domestica (apple). Its description in RNAcentral is "long non-coding RNA (MDOM_LNC019625)". Lineage: Eukaryota; Viridiplantae; Streptophyta; Magnoliopsida; Rosales; Rosaceae. The record is from RNAcentral.